Solea senegalensis (Senegalese sole) is the source of this 1245-nucleotide long non-coding RNA. RefSeq lists it as uncharacterized. NCBI's taxonomy places the organism in Eukaryota, Metazoa, Chordata, Actinopteri, Pleuronectiformes, Soleidae. The transcript has 2 exons. The record is from RefSeq and is a predicted model, not a curated record.
AAUUUUGGUGACUUUUUGGACGACAUACUAAUCCAUGACAUACAGUAUCUGUCAUAGAUCUACAGUUCUAGUUCUAUAUAUGGAAAUAUAUCUUUUUGUCUGAAGGAUUAAAACGUGUUUGUUUUUGUGUUAGCGUCACACAGCAGCAGGCACUAAUUCAUAAGGUUGGACAAAAUAAGUGUUUACUUCAACCCUACUCCUUUUCAAACAUGCAAAAUGCACAGCUCAUGGAGAUUUUCUUUCUUUUUUUCUCUAUAAUUUUUUUCGGUUUUUGUUGUGAGUGGGACAUUCAAAUAUCCCCCUCCCACAACCAGAAUUAAAACACUUCCCAACCUGUGGGAAGUGUUUUAAUUCUGGUUGUAUGCCAUGUUGUUUCUUGUAUGUUUCUUCUAAAAUCAAGAGUAAAAUCUGAAUCAGUAUCAAUAGACUACAUCUUGUUGACUUAUUCUCGAAAAGAAAAUCAUAAAUGUGCCACCACUGGUUUAUACCGCAUUUCCCAAAUUAAGGCUAACAUUAAUUGAAGUAUCAAGAUGUUAAAACAAAACCCAGUGCUGGUGUUGAGCUGCGGGUUCUCUGUUUUCCUUAACAUCAGUGAACAUAACGCCACAGUCAAGUGCAACAGGAUGAAAUCCCAGAAGGUGCGACGGCGUCCAGAAUCCUGUCACGCCUACCACCCAAAGGAGAACGCUAAGGAAUGUGGUGGAGCGACGGCUGUUUCCCUGACUGUCUCCCUCUUCUUCAGCUCUCUGCUCGUCUCACUGCUCGUCCACCACUAGACAUAAACAAGGAACAACGCACCAAUCAGGAUGCUCAAAGGAGAGCAAAAAGAUGAAGGAUGUCACAUUUUUUUUCCCAAAACGAUUUUGUUGACAUGAACUUGACACAUGGGACAGUGGGACAUGUCACAUGUUAUUUUUCCGCUGUUUAGAGAAGCUUCACUCUGUGGUGGAGAUAAAGGGCUAUUUGAUUUUGAUAAAGAACUGAUUUAGACUUAAUUCUUCAGUUUGCAGAUGGGGAAACAGGAGUCCUCACUCUGAUGGAGGAGAUGAAACAGACUUUUGCGGAGAACAUGGAGCACCUCCUGGUGGACAGGUAUCAACAGUGCAGCUUGUGUGUGGAGAACCGUUGCCAUUAUUUACACGAAUGUAGCCAAUUUGUAGCUUUUUUGAUACAGGUGUGUUGUACAAAUAUAGAGUUUUACAUUUAAAUUAUUUAUCAAUAAACAGAUAAAAUGUGGGAAAAGCA